CCGCGGCCGCCUCCGCCGCGCCGCCGGGAGGAGGUGCCCGAGGGGGGUGGGUGUCUCCGCCCGGCCCGGCCCCGCCGCGGCGCGGGGCGGGGGAGAGGGCGGCUCUGAGGCACAGGGGCGGGGGUGCCCGGAGCUGCCCGGCGGCGCCUGAGGCGGACGCUCGGCUGUCCCCGGCGCCUUGAGGGCUCGACGGGAGGAGGCGACGCUCGCUUCGUGGAGGAGCCCGGCCACGCACAGGUAUUCAAGAUGAUUCAGUAGUCUCAACGUGGAUCAGCUCAGAUCCCAACAGUUAAGCGUGAUAGCGGGGGACACUGUCUUCGUACCUGGAACGCCGGAAGAACCCGCACUGCCACAGAAGGAAAGGAACAGUUUAGCUGAAAGUUGCUGCCAAGGUACUACAACUGCAGAGGCAGUGAAUUCCUCCUUCACACAAAUAUACAGGCUGUAACCAUACUUCUGCCUGACAACUUGUCUUUUCUCUUUAAUGGAAGUGAGAAGACAUUUUACAUGAACAAAUGAAUGAGCCGAUCCUGUUCUCAUUAAAGCAUCGAAAGGUUGUUUAAAAUAGCUGUGUCACACACACAGAAGCACAGCUGCCUCUCAGGCAGCUGACUGAAAUUAGCAGCAAGCAGUGUGCAGUAGUUUGUGGAAGAAACAUCACACUCAGCUGAAACACCUACGACGAGAGAACAGUGUGUGGUGCCAGUGCUGGGUCAAGAAGAUGAACCCUGUUCUUUUCCACAGGAUAGUGAGACUACGUCCCUCUCUCCAGCUGAAUGACCUUUUACAGCACACCGUGAUCCUGAUGGCAGGAAAGGACCUACUGAAGCACUGGGGGAAUAAACAGCAUAGCCAACAGAAUAUGGAAUGGGAAGAUGUGCCACCUGCUGUAAAAUGCUGCAAACAUUCAAUGCCAUCUCAGACACCGCUGAGGUCAACAGCGAAAAAUGAAAUUGUUCAGCCUUCUUUAAAAAUGUAAGGCGUCCAUCCAACAGGAUCCCAAAGGAAACUGGCGACCUUAGAUUCUUCCCAAUGCCCACACCCCCCAUCCAAAUACUGCCUAUGUUAUUUUCCAGGGUAAACAAAGAAUUUCAAAACAGACUUGUUUAAAACCUUCCAGAUUUCAAAGAACUGUUACCAGGAAUCCUGUCACUAAUCUUCAAAGCUCUUCAAAUACAAAAACUUGAAUUUUCUUAGGUACUUCACUGUAAGUCCUUACCGCACAGGCCAAGAGAAGCACACACUGUGAGUAAGUGCUCCCAGAGGAUUAGAUCAGCUCAAGUACAAUACUACAGUAAACCCUGAAAUGUACUUUCAAGUAGCAACCAAAGAUCCAUUAAGAAGUGGCACAACUCCUUUGUACUUGUUUACUACUUUUCUGCCCUAAAGAACAGAGCAGAGAAGACUAAACCUAUGCCCCUGGGUUCUGCCAGACAGGUUACUGAAGGUGAUGAUUAUAAUCAUUAUGAGGAUUAUCAACGCUAUCAGAAUCUGUGUAAGAAAGCCACAUGCAUCUAAUCUUUCGUUGAAUAAAUCAAGCAAAACAAAAAAUUCCUUUCAAACACAUAGUCAUUCUGAUAACAGAGCUGCUGUUCAGCUUGUCUACCAUUUAAAAGGUACAUCUGAAAAUCAAAAUUGUAUUAUAAAAGCCAGAUUACUUAAUUUAAAAAUAAAAAGUGUGCACAGAACUACAGAAGUAUGACAUGAACCAUGCAUCAGUGUGAAUUUCAGUGUGACUGCAGUAAUACAAAUGAAUCAGCUCAUAUACUGAGCUGUGCUACGUGCUCAGCAGAGUCCUUCCAGAUAGAGGACACAUUCCAGUCAUUACUCUGUGGCUACUUACUCAGCUGUGAUUUAAUAAAAGAAUUUUAAUCAAGUUUGAGCUCAUUAUGCCAAAACCAGGUUAGCUUUUUCUGCAGCUAUGCAUGUUCCAUUUUAGCUUUCUCAUUGGCAAGCAAAACCUCUUUCUGCAGGUCAGAGGUAGGGGCAGAGUGAGGGGAUGCUCUUCCAGCUAUCACCAUCUCCUUAUAUUGGCAGAUGAAACAUGGACACUUAAAACCUAGGAGCUUUUCCUCUGCAAAUGAAGAGUGACAAAAACAAAUUCUUAAUUUCUCUUCACCCAUGCUCACAGUAUGAUUCAUUUUAUUCACUGGGACUGCUCCCUGAAAGUCUGUGGACAUGGUCUACUCUAACUACUUUCAAUUAGGUUUGAAUGUUCAAAAUCAUGUUCCAGAAUGCAUAUUCAGAUCACAAAAUAACAGCCCAAUGUCAAGAAUGCAGAGUGGGAGAUGCAAAUCCAAGACACUCCAACAUGCAAUUUACUGAUUCUUCUAUCCCCGUGGUAGGUGUGCCUUGUUACUCUACAGAAAACAGAAGCUCAGCCAUACAGUAUACUGAACAUGAACAUCUCUGAGCAUCAGUUCCUGUCAGAGGCUCAGCUUUUUAUUAUUUGAGUUAUGAUGACUUAGUAGCUAAUGUUUACCAUGAGUCCAACUCAGAGAAAAGCAGACAAUUGCUAUUCCUCAUGUCAAUUACAGAAACAGAUGAUUCUAACUGUUAACUUGAAUCCUGAUUUUCCCCACACAUCUUGCUUCAAUACAUACUAUAACCUAACUGGGUUUUCCUGGGGCCAAUCAGACUGCACAGGUGUUAAUCUACAGAAAUGUAACAUCGUAAACAAUUAAUAUAAUUUAAUUUAAAAUAAGCAUCUAUCAAGUGACAGUGCUGGGGAAAAAAAACACCUGAAUUCUCUCAUACCUUGGCAUAAAACUACAAUGUUAUUAUAAUUAAAACGUGUCUUCCAAUUUCAAACUGAAAUUCUGACUUUUAACCAAAUGAAUCAGUCCAGUUGCUCUAUCAAUUAGAAUUCUCUCUUAAUUACUUCUUGAAGAUACAUGAUAAUAACUGAAGUCCCACUGCCAAUUAUGAGCAUCUGCUGACUUACAGGAACAGAUUUACUCCCUCACAGCCCCAUAUUCAUAGCCAAAUGUAAGACAAUCCCCUUAGAGCUGCAGGAUUGGUGUGCAAUGUUUAACUACCUGCCCUUCCUGAGAGGCAGGCUCAGGUGGUGCUGCCUGCCCCGCACAGACACCGGUGACCCCGGCUGCACCUGCGUGUGCGAGGAACGCAACAGGGAGAGCUGGCCUGUGCUCUCAAAGCACAACAGGGAGAGCUGGCCUGUGCUCUCAAAGCAGUGUCACAUCCCUCCACGGAACCCUAUGGCACAGCUACCCCCACCCUACCUCACUGCAGCUUACAUUACACCCAAACACAACAGCUGAGGCAAGAAUAUGGGGCUGUGAGGGAGUAAAUUUCACCACUUAGGUCAAGCACUACUCAAGUGCUAGAAAAGGUAUCAAGACAUCUUACUGACUUUAUCUACAUCUGGAUCAGACCUUUGGAAAAGCGUGUGUAGAAAACAUGCUUCAUAAACCCACAUAUCUCCAAGAAGAGGAAGGUAAGAACUGACUGCCCGCAUUCAGGUAGGCACCUGCUGUUGACCAGUGUUGCAAAAACGUAACUACAGGUCUGACUCCAGAUGCACAAACAGCCUAUGAACUGUAGGUUUGGCUGCAUUUAGAAGAACCAGUCAGAUUCUGGAACAGCA
Molecule: long non-coding RNA, 3607 nt
Organism: Passer montanus (Eurasian tree sparrow)
Lineage: Eukaryota; Metazoa; Chordata; Aves; Passeriformes; Passeridae
Exons: 6
Source: RefSeq, a predicted model, not a curated record